AGUGAACGCUGGCGGUAGGCCUAACACAUGCAAGUCGAACGGCAGCACAGUAAGAGCUUGCUCUUACGGGUGUCGAGUGGCGGACGAGUGAGGAAUACAUCGGAAUCUACUUUUUCGUUGGGGAUAACGUCGGGAAACUUACGCUAAUACCGCAUACGACCUACGGGUGAAAGCAGGGGAUCUUCGGACCUUGCGCGAUUGAAUGAGCCGAUGUCGGAUUAGCUAGUUGGCGGGGUAAAGGCCCACCAAGGCGACGAUCCGUAGCUGGUCUGAGAGGAUGAUCAGCCACACUGGAACUGAGAAACGGUACAGACUCCGACGGGAGGAAGCAGUGGAGAAUAUUAGACAAUGGGCGCAAGCCUGAUCCAGCCAAACCGCGUGAGUGAAGAAGGACUUAGGGUUGUAAAGCCAUUUUGUUGGGAAAGAAAAGAAGCAGGUUAAGACCCGGAGGUUAUGACGGUACCAAAAGAAUAAGCACCGGCUAACUUCGUG
RNAcentral lists this ribosomal RNA (492 nucleotides) under uncultured bacterium. Its description in RNAcentral is "partial 16S ribosomal RNA". It matches the Rfam family "Bacterial small subunit ribosomal RNA", at positions 29 to 507 of the family's 1533-position model. The record is from RNAcentral.